Long non-coding RNA from Mizuhopecten yessoensis (Yesso scallop), 247 nucleotides. RefSeq lists it as uncharacterized. The transcript has 3 exons. The record is from RefSeq and is a predicted model, not a curated record. Lineage: Eukaryota; Metazoa; Mollusca; Bivalvia; Pectinida; Pectinidae.
AUAUUUCUGCGUUAACUUCCUUUCUCCUGUCCGCUAUCUAGUUGCACAUGUCUACAGAUUUACACAGAUUUACGAAUUCAAGAUGAGUCCUGAGAUGAAAAAGAGGGUAUCUACAGUUUUAGAUCUUGCAAGGGUGACGUUUCAGUAUGGCUUCCUCCCAACUGUGAUUUACUUAGGUUUCAAAAAGGGUGCCGAUGAAGGCAUGCCAGAACUGUCCUGGCAGAAUCUUUUAUGGAUGUGAUGAAGU